CGUGCGCUGGAUUAUGACUG
Molecule: small RNA, 20 nt
Filed under: Arabidopsis thaliana (thale cress)
Lineage: Eukaryota; Viridiplantae; Streptophyta; Magnoliopsida; Brassicales; Brassicaceae
Description: AGO1_4478
Source: RNAcentral